ACUUUAUGCUGGAAAAUGUAGCAGAAUCACUUGUGACCCGUUUCUCUCCACCUGAAUGACAAUGACGUCGGAUUGUGUUCUUUGCCCAGGGAGUGAUCAGCUUUGCCGAAAGCAUUUAGGAGAGAUAAACACUCUUGCCCACGACCUCCCUGCAAACAAGGCCUCAGCAUCCCAGCCUGGCAGCCACUUGCAGUGCCUGUCUGUCCACUGCACAGACGACGUGGGUGACGCCAAGGCUCGAGCCUCCGUGCCCACCUGGCGGUCCCUGCAUUCUGACAUCUCCAACAGAUUUGGGACAUUCGUGGCUGCCCUAACUUGAAUGACAAGAAAGAUCCCCUCCUCUACCAGGCCCUUCCUCUCCCCCUGUCUGUUUCCUUCCCCCUCAACCUUACCCCACCCCUCUGUUAAUUUGAAAGGGCCACUAUUGCUGAGUGGAUGAGUUUUUUUUUUUUCUCUAGGUUGGUACCUGCUUAGUGGCAUAUGGACCGGAAAGGGUUAAUUUAAAGGGGGGGAACCUCAAAAGUUUUUUUAAAAAAGAAACUUGUCUGCCACAGUA
This 556-nucleotide long non-coding RNA is filed under the name Homo sapiens (human). RNAcentral describes it as "non-protein coding lnc-PITPNB-4:1". The record is from RNAcentral. Lineage: Eukaryota; Metazoa; Chordata; Mammalia; Primates; Hominidae.